CCCUUAGAUGUCCUGGGCCGCACGCGCGCUACACUGAGUGUCUGAGAUACGAGUCUGCCUGGUUCGGCAAGGUCUAGGUAAUCGCUAAAAGACACAUCAUGCUUGGGAUAGAUUAUUGCAAAUAUUAAUCUUGAACGAGGAAUUCCUAGUAAGCGCAAGUCAACAGCUUGCGUUGAUUACGUCCCUGCCCUUUGUACACACCGCCCGUCGCUACUACUGAUUGGAUGUUUAAGCGAGGUUCUCGAACUGCUAGCGACUUAGCUUCGGUGAGGUCGCAGUGUGGGAAGUGAACCUAGCUUUGGUGUCUAGAGGAAGUAAAAGUCGUAACA
RNAcentral lists this ribosomal RNA (329 nucleotides) under uncultured eukaryote. RNAcentral describes it as "partial 18S ribosomal RNA". It matches the Rfam family "Eukaryotic small subunit ribosomal RNA", at positions 1470 to 1796 of the family's 1831-position model. The record is from RNAcentral.